UUCCAGACUCCUACGGGAGGCAGCAGUGGGGAAUAUUGCACAAUGGGGGAAACCCUGAUGCAGCGACGCCGCGUGAGCGAUGAAGUAUUUCGGUAUGUAAAGCUCUAUCAGCAGGGAAGAAGAUGACGGUACCUGACUAAGAAGCCCCGGCUAACUACGUGCCAGCAGCCGCGGUAAUACGUAGGGGGCAAGCGUUAUCCGGAUUUACUGGGUGUAAAGGGAGCGUAGACGGCCAGACAAGUCUGAAGUGAAAAUCCAGCGCUUAACGUUGGAAGUGCUUUGGAAACUGCCGGGCUAGAGUGCAGGAGGGGCAGGCGGAAUUCCUAGUGUAGCGGUGAAAUGCGUAGAUAUACGGAGGAACACCAGUGGCGAAGGCGGAUUGCUGGACAGUAACUGACGCUGAGGCGCGAAAGCGUGGGGAGCAAACAGGAUUAGAUACCCCUGUAUAG
Molecule: ribosomal RNA, 449 nt
Filed under: uncultured bacterium
Lineage: Bacteria
Description: bacterial SSU rRNA
Rfam family: Bacterial small subunit ribosomal RNA
Source: RNAcentral